UCAUGUGUCAUCUCGGCCAAGCUGGAGAAUCCUUUCGUGUUUUUUUACAAAUAGGGGGUGUGUGAUUUCUACUUCCAUUAGUAGUGUUCUUAUUGAUUUCUUUUGUGAUUUUGUUGGUUCUUUUGUUGUUCCUUUUUGGGUUAGCUCUAGCCUCAAUUUAUUAUUGGGUUUUUCUGUUUGGUUGUUGCUUCUUGUAGUUGUACUUUAUUAACCGGUGGGAAUGUAGUUUGCUUGGUGUAUUUGGUUUU
This 248-nucleotide long non-coding RNA is filed under the name Lathyrus oleraceus (garden pea). RNAcentral's name for it is "Pisum sativum (pea) long non-coding RNA (PSAT_LNC026341)". The record is from RNAcentral. Lineage: Eukaryota; Viridiplantae; Streptophyta; Magnoliopsida; Fabales; Fabaceae.